This 22481-nucleotide long non-coding RNA is filed under the name Vigna radiata. Its description in RNAcentral is "long non-coding RNA (VRAD_LNC002994)". Lineage: Eukaryota; Viridiplantae; Streptophyta; Magnoliopsida; Fabales; Fabaceae. The record is from RNAcentral.
UUUCAUUUAGUGAAAGGUUUAUUACUACAAAUGAGGCCUUAGGUUGCUUAUAUAGGUGUAAGAGAGGAAGUAAAUUAAGUAAAUUAAGUAAAUUGAAAGAUGUGGAACUUGGAGAUCUUAAAUUUGAAAUGGAACGUUAUAAACAGGUUUUAGGUACCACAUUUCUUAAUUCUACAUUACCCUAAAGAUAUAUAAGCUACCCAACUAGUGUAAAAAUCAAAACUAAAGUUAUAUCAUAGAUAACUUGAAUUACAAGCAACUAAAAGAGGAAAACUUUUUUAUUAUUUUUUCUUUUUAGUCCAAACUAUUUGGAGUCGCAUAUUGAUUGCACUUUAAAGAAAAAAAGGAUCUAUAAGUAUCUCUACAACCAAACUAAGGAACUAGCAAGGCAAAAUACAAACCUAUGAAAAUCUAUGCUAAUAAAGGCCAAAAUACAUGUUAUAAAACCUAUUCUAUUCUUUUCAUUUCUUCAUGUUUUCCUUAUGUCUUGAGCCAUUUAUGAUCACAUCAGAUCAGCCCAAUGAAAAGGGGUGAACUCAAAAGCUAAUCUGAGGUUGUUCACAAAGGGUGAACUCAGAAUUAUAGGUAGGGGUCAAAGACCCUGUUAUUUUCUUCAUUCUGUCUUUCUUGUGGACAUCUUGGUGCCCUCGUAAUGUUGUGAGAUUGCAUUUUAGUGCAUUCUGUUUUCAAGUCAUAGCAUGCUUUGUAUUGAUUACAAAAUGUAGUUUUAAAGUACAUGGACAUAAGGGUCUAUAUAAGAAAAUCCAGAUUUAGAUAAAGCCGUGUCUCAUGGAAUGUUUGCAAAUAAAGAAACUGUUUUUGGCACUGUAGUAGAUGCACGUCAAACUUCUUAGUAAAAAAGGAUUCACUGUGAUUUAUUUAAGGUGAUAUCAUAUGUCUUGCUUCUAAAGUAUGCUUUAGUAAUUGUUUUUACGUUGCAUGUUGCUGUUGAACGUGGAGUAAAAUUUUGAGUAGUAGACAGAGAAGAAAAGUGGAUCCCCUAUCACUUUCUUAUGAUUCAAUAGUGGUUUUCAUACAAAUAGUAGCGAACACACUAUAAACUGAAGAACUUUGUAAUUAAAACAGCUUAAACUCAAACCAAAUCUACUCUAGGAAAGCAAUAAAAUCUACCAAACUAGCUUUGUAGUGAAGGCAGGUUCAUAACAUUAGAGAGAAGGAAAACUCAGAACUGUAAAAUCUGGAAAAGGUUUUCUUAUUAGUCACUAUGUGGUUUUCAUCCAUCUCUAAUUUUGAUAUUCGCAUUCCGGUUCUGCAACACCCCGGACUCAUCAUUUCUAAUAGCAUAUGGCAUAUUACUGCAAUAUCUUCGCACUGGUUUUUUAUUACAUUAGUCUACUACAUCAUUUAAAUUGAAGAACUUUAGUUCAAAGUCAAAAGGAAUAGAUAAUUUGGUAGAAAGAAAAAAUGAGGUAAAUUAGGAGUUAUGAUUGUAUUCUGUUGAACAGUACGUAGCAUCAACUUAUGGGCUUUGCAAGUUUAUUGGAAGACAGGAUAUGAAUGACAUAGCACGGGGGAAUCUAUUGAUUGAUUUUCUUCACUCUCGGUUCUUUGCUUAUUGGUAUAACAAUCAAAGAAUAUUACACCCCGAUUGUACUUUAGUUUAAGUCAUAGGGAAAAUUCUCAGCUAAACUUUAAUGGUUGCAGAAGAGUAAUAUAUAUAUAUAUAUAUAUAUAUAUAUAUAUAUAUAUAUAUAUAUAUAUAUAUAUAUAUAUAUAAAGACCAUAUCAAUUUGAAUUGUAAUGUGUAACAGCAAUAGGUGGUAUAAAGUGAAAAUAGAAACUUCCUCAUUUCUCUUUAUGCAAGUGAUAAAAUAAAUUGGAGAAAGAAUGAGUGUGUGAGAGAAAAAGAAUGGAGGAUUCAUGCAAGUUGUGGUAAGAUGCAUUGUUUCAUGUGUGGGGUCGGGAAUGAAUAGGACACUCCUUCACACUUUCUAUCGCGCUUGUUUGGAUAAUUUUGUUCGUCUUUUGUUAAAGUCCUUUCUGGUUAAUGUUCCAAACCGCUCGAGGAUACUUGUCAAAGGCAUUUCGAUGCUUAAGUCAUUAAUUAAUCCAGACGAUGGUUAGAGCAAAGUCAUAAAUUCACAAUAAAUAUGAUCACUUACUUUUUAUCUUUGACCUCUAUUUAUAGUUUUAGAGAUGGGCUUAAGAUUAGCAAAACCCUAAUCACGACCCCAAUCUCGGUCCAUUAUCUACUAAUUAACACUUACUCUUAACCUUGUCUAUUUGGUCUUUACCCACAUUCGGCCGAGCAAUCAUCGUCUUAUUUUGUUCAAUUUCAUGGGUUCAGACAUAUUCGAUCGGUCAUCCCUCAAUGGCUCUUUCUGCCCGGUCUUAGCUAUGUUGUCAUCUGGCCAUACAGUACAAAGGCCUCCCAAGCCCUAGCCAACCCUGGGUGGCGUUGGAUUUGAUACAUGGGUGGUGUGGAGUAGGUCUCGUGGCUAUGGUUGGAGCUUCCCCAUACGACGUGAUUUGAAUUUGUGGUAGUGGUGGGAAGACACUUGUCUUAUUAAUUAUGUGUUGUCAUCAUCAAAACCAGAAGAUCUCUGAGAUUGUAAGGUUUGGCUAAAUAAGUGUUCCCUCUAUCAAAAAUCCCAACAACCUUCAACAAAGAAAGGUCAAACCUUCAACACAAAAGAAAAAGGACACACCUUGAACUAAGAGUACAGAGAGAACAGAGGAUUGGAGAGAGAACGGAGAGUGGAGAAAGAACAACAAAGAAGUUGAAUUAUAGAGAGAGAAUGAACCCUCUUUUUCUGAAUGAAAAAAGCAAGGGUAUUUUGGAAUUCAUAAGUGUAAUAUGAUUACAUUUUCCCACGUUACCUUUUUCAAAUAAAAAAUUUAUUUUAACCUUCUCCAAUACUGUUUUUAGACAUGGCAAUUGUGAAAAAGUUAUAAAAAAAAGGUUUAAUGUCUCGAUAAGUCCUUAUUUUCGUCCUGAAUCUCAAUUAGGUCCCUUUUUUUUCGACUUCUCGAUUAGGUCCUUAUUUUUGUAAAAUUGAAUCAAUUGAGGGUCUACCGUCAAAUUAAACAAACUGUCGUUUAAAUUUACUGACGUGACAUUAAAAACGAAUUUUAUAUUAAAAAUUUGAAUUACACAAGUGUGAAUUCAAAUUUAAGAAAGGGCAAAGUAGGCAAAAUCUAAAAUUUAAGUGCAGCCCCUAACUUCAAUCUUCCAUGUUCAUUUCAUUCAACUCAAAAUUAUAUUCUGUUCAUCAGCAUCCUUCCCAAAUUCCAUCAACGUUUCCCUGUCCUUAUCAUACAGCGGGCACUCAUUCUCCAACUAACAAAGUUGGACUACCAACUUAUCAAACUCCAGUGCCAGUCUAUGAUUCUCCUCCACGAAUUUCUUCAAAACUUGCACUCGCUUCAAACUGCUCUAAAAUACCCAGAAUUCCCAUCAUCAAAUUUUCAAAAAAAAGAAAAUGAAAGAUAAAGAUUCAAAAGACCAAUCUUGCAUAAAACAAAAUCAAAUGCAACCAAAACAAAAAGUAAAAAGCCUUCCAAUUCCAACAUUAAUAAACAACCAGUACAUGAUUGGAUUAAUGUGAGUAUUUCAACAAUUUACUGAAGCUUCACAAUUGAGAUUUCCCAAAUGCAGAUUAAAAAAUGAUGAUAAAAGCAAACAAAGAGGAGCGGACCUCACCUCGUCCACAUUAAAAUCCCGAUCAAUUAACCGGUGUCCUGAGUUCUCCAAUUCAGAAACCCUAACGCUCCUUCGAGUUUCUUUCGACACUUUCGCGACGGCGGAGUCCAAAUCCUUGCGGAGGAGCGUCCCUCCCAUGAUGAAUCCCUCUUGUUCGAAGGCAAAGAGCGUCUUGGACUGCGACGGAGAAGAACAAAAUGGAAAGGUGAGACCUUGAAGGAAAUGUAAAUGUUAUUGAUGGUGGCCAAGUCGUUGAAGGAGAUGACGUUGAAUGGAGGAUGCAGAUGAUGUUGACUGGCUUCAUUACUGAGAAGGAGUUUUAGGGUUUUGAAAGAAAAGGGGUUAAUGGAAGAAGAAAAGAGGUUUGUCUUUUUUGCCCCUCUGAACAUAUUUGAUUUAACUUUGCUUAAUUAUUUUUUAAUAUAAAAAUUAAUUCAAAUUUAUUUUUAAUGCCACAUAAGAUAAAUUUAAACGGUCGUUUGUUUAAUUUAACGGCAAGUCUCUAAUUCUUCAAUUUUACAAAAAUAAGGACCGAAUUGAGAAGUUGAAAAAGAAAUGGACCUAAUUAAGAUUCAGGGCAAAAAUAAGGACUUACGGAACUAUUAAACCUAAAAAAAAAAGUUGUUAACUUAUCGCGAUCCACAAUCAAUAAAUCUCCUUUAACACGAAAACUACCUAAAAGCAAUAUCUAUAACUUAAUGUAGUAAGGAAUUUUGACCAAUAAUUUUUUAGACACAAAGUAAUAUGCUUAAACUAAGUAUAAUUUCAAUGUCUAAUCUCUAUGCAAACUAGUAGAGUCCAUUCUCUACCUAUUGUAAGGUAGUGUGGUGUUUUUAUUACACCACUUUUACUUUGCACGUGGGUAAAUGAUAUAGAACAAUUAUAUUUUUUGUAAUCACCAACAAGACCAACCCCUAACUCUGCUAUCAAAUAAAAAAGGACGGAUCUAACAAUGUGAUUAAAGGAAUUUGAGUAACCUCCACCGCUAACUCAACAUGCAAGAGUUCAUUUUCAAAUGUAUUUAGAAGUCUAUAUCACAUAUAUUCAACUAUAACUUCAAUUACUCAAAAAGCAACUUGAGCUGUAAGGAGUGCAAUGGGAAAACUCCAACCUAGAAAUCAAAACAAUAGAAACAAAAAUACAACCAAACUUAGGCAAAGACUAAAUUAGUUGAGAAAGUUAUUUUUCUCAAUUUAUAAAGUAUAAAAGAAAAAUUAAAUGGAUUUUUGAUGCAAAAAAGAAAUUUUAAUUUGAAAAGAAAAUUCAUAGGAUAGAAAUGGUAUUUUAUCAUGCUAGUAUAAGGUAGGAUAUGAUUAUGAAAAUGGAGCAUUGGAGUGAGACACUAAAAGAAAUAUUAGAGAAAAACAAACGUUUUUGCAUGCAUGAGAAAGAGAGAAUGAGGGGGAAGUUUUACAAUUUUUUAACUCAAAAAUUUGGGUUCCAUCUUUAAUUUUGUUUAUAUUUUUUUACAUUUACCAAACUAAAUUAUAUAUGUAUGGUCACAAAUGAAAUUAGUAAAUUUAGGAAUAAAUAUAAAAAUCACAUACUUUCAAAAAUAGAGAAACCAAAUGUCUCACCCGGUUUAUUCAAUCAUAAAUUGUAAUAGUUGGUACCUAAUGUUUUAACUAUAAUGUUUUAAUUAAUUAAAAAUAUAAAAAUAUUUAAUAACUUUAACUUUUAUAUUGAAUACUUCUUCGUUUAAAAAUAUGAUUUCAAAAUAGUAAUGUUUUCCCUUCCGAACAUAAAAUUCACUUCAAUAGUUUUCUAAAAUAAUACAGAAUUAUUCACUGUUUUUAUAAUCAUAUUAAAGAUUCGUGUAUUAUUUUAUCUUAAGUCCGUAAAAUAUCAUAUCGGUCGUUUAUCGACGAAAUAGGCGAAAACUGGAAAGCAAAGACUGAAGGGAUAUGUUUUGCUUAGCGAUGAAGGAAAUCUAUAUUACAAAUAAAUUAAAAAAACAAUGUCAUAAUCAAUUAAAUAUAAGAAAAAAAUAGUAAGAACCUGAUUCUAUUUUAUUUUCAUUGAAUUAACAUACCUAUAUAUUUUUGUCUGUGUCUGAAGUAGAUUCUAUUUAUACAUUCUACGAAUCUAAUACUGAUUCUGUGUUAACAUCAUACUUCAUUUUUGUCUGCCAUAAGCAGAUUCUGAUUAUAGCUGCAAUUGCAAAUAUAACAUGAUUGAGGUUAUACUUGCAACAUAACGAAAUACUUUCCCAAAAGGGCUCUUAUUUUCGUAUUGGCCCCAAAGGUUUUGGAAUAACAGCCCAUUACAAAAGAUACUUUAUUCUUUCUUUCUUCAAUCACUUUUAUUGCAGGAGGGCAGUUUGAGAUCUAUUUAGGUUAAACUCAUUCGGAGGUAUCUAUUUUUGUGUUUUUGUUUCACUUACAUUUCUGUCUUUUAUUCUUUCACCAAUUAGAUUCUUAAGAUUGAAAAAUUGAAAGAAUUUGACCUUUGCCGUUAAAUCAAGCUAACAGGAUUAACUUUCAGCUUACAUGUAAGGGUGAGGUGGAUAAAUAUGAUCACGUGGCGUGCACAGAAGGGUUUGUUUAUGUACGUGGCAUUAAAUUUAAAAAGUAGGGGUUUUGUUAAACAUUUUAAAAUUAGGGUUAUUUUAAAAUACAAUUAGGAUUAAAUCUCUUUCAGUAGUGGAGUGGUGGUUCCAACAGCACCGACUCGUCAUCACUGGCGAUGUCUACGGCUCAUCCUCAGUUGCGCCUCGGUGCUACUUCUACCGGUCUCUCCACCGUCAAGUGCAUGCAAAACGUGGCCGCCAAAGCCGUCGCGCAACGCCUCACUCGUGUCAUGGCAUCUCAGAACGCCAUCAUCGACGAAGGUGAAGAUGACGAUGAUCUCGAUUUCCGGUUCAGCGCUCCGCCUCCUACAUCUAUUUCUUCUUUCUCCAUCAACGCCAUCAGUAACAGGAGCACCAACACAAAUGCCUCCACUAUUCCUCCGAUUUUGGUUGCCAAGCCUAACAGAUCUACUUCUCCUACGAUAACUCUCUCUGCAAUUCGACACUGUUGGGUAUGUCACUGUUUGUCCAGAAUUUCAGGAAGAAAAUAGAAGAUAAACGUCACGCUAGAGAGAAAAAAUCACCAUGGUCGCGAACCGAACAGUGAGAAGGAAUUCAAAGUGAGCGCGUUGAAUGAAGAGAAAAAAAAAUAAAGUGAAUAAGAUUAACUGAAUAAGGAAUCCACCUUGUGGUCGCGACUACGGUAUUUGAACUGGCGAGGGAAAUAACGAAGGACGUAACUAAGGCCGUCAUCGGAGAGAAACAUCUCUGGUGUUAGUUUGGGCCUUGUUCGAGGAAGUUUCUUGGGCUUUUCGGUUGUGAAUCUGGGCUUGAAAGAAAAGGAAGAAGGAUUGGGAGUGGGAUUGGUGGAGGCGUUAGGGUUUGGAUUGGAAUUGGGAGCAGAGAAAGGACAGUCUCGUGACCAAUGACCUGGUCUGCCACACUUGUAACAGCCUGUGGCGGUUGCUGUUCCUUUUCCUCCAUUUUUUCACUUCUCACUGAUCACUCUCCUUUCCCAACACACCAUCUAUCUGUGGUGCGAUGGUGCUCCACCUGGACAGGAUAGAAUGCGGUGAUAGAGCUACGUGGUACAAGCAACUGUUAUCGGCAAUACUGCAGCAAUGAUUUUGAUGAUUGAGUGUCUGGUGCAGGAGGUGGUCGUCGGCGACGGUGUGGUAGCGAUCUAGGUGGCGCGGCGCAAAUAGUGAAGUAAGGAAGUUUUAGGGUUUAUGGAAGGAAGAAGGAAGAAUUUUCAGUUAUUUUAAAAAAUUUAUUCAGAAUAAAAAUUAAAUAAUACAAAUAAUUAAUAAUAAUAAUAAUAAUAAUAAGGUUAAGAAACACUAAUUUUUUAAUUCUUUGUUUAAGAUACUGACACGUGUAUAAUAAAACCAACGUAACAGGUUCUGUGCACACCACGUCACCAUAUUUGUCCACCUUACCCUCACAGGUAAGAAAAAAGUUAACCCCGUUAACUUGAUUUAACGUCAGGGGUCAAAUUCAUUCAAUUUUCCAAUCUUAAGGACCUAAUUGGCAAAAAAAAAAAGAUGAGGAUGCAAGUGGGACAAAAACACGAAAAUAGGGACCUCUGAAUGUGUUUAACCAUCUAUUUACCUGUAUUGAUGUUAAUUGAAGAGAAGGUGCUUAUUAAAUAAGUCUACUAAGUUCAUGGGGUACCAUAAUUGAGAUCUGGGACACUAGAUUGGUCGAAGAACCUUUAAUGAUUGGAUUGUGAAUAGGUGUAUGGUAAGUAAAAGUCUAUAUAAAUAUUAUAAAUAAAAAGUUUAAGGUAAUUGUUCACUUUUACUGCAACAUUUAGUAUAGCCUUUGGAUCAAUACUAAUUUAAGCAUCAGAGUGUAAUCUAUAAGUACACUUCGAACGAUUUGGACAACUUGAGACCUUAAGUAUUGAAAGGAGCUGAAAAUUGAAGUUAACCUAAGACCGAGACAUAUAGGAAAUGGAAAUGCUUGACCAAUCUAACAGAAACAUUUUUGUACCCACCGUGGGACCGAACGAGCACUUUUUUGCUGCUAUGGUAAUCACAAAGAACAUGACAAACAAUGAAGUACUAGAGGAGCAGCAUGUGGAUCCUAUGGCUAUGAUGCACGACAUGAGAAGGGAGAUGGAGACUAUGAGAAGGAAGCAUGAAGGAGAGAUGACAAUUUUGCACACAGAAAACACACUUAUGAAACAAAAACGGAAACUAAGGGACAUGUACAAUCCACCCCAACUCAACUUGGACCAACCAAACAACCAAGAAUCGAGCAUGAUCGAACAGUUCAGAAGAAAAAUUAUGGAGCUAGUAGAGAUCACAACCCAUCUGUCACUGUCACGGUAGACAUGUCUGGGUGCACCCGUUUACUAGUGGAAUCAUUAAGACCCCUUUACUAGACAAUUGGAAGAUGUCAACGUUUGACAAGUAUGAUGGAUCCACGAAUGUUAACGAGCACAUCAACAUUUGUCUAACGCAGUUGGUGUUAUUCACGUCAGAUGAUAUCAUUUAGUGCAAGGUAUUCCCAACAUCACUAAAAUGAGCCAUCCUCGAGUGGUUCAAGCUUCUAUCUGUCAACUCCAUCGGCUGCUUCGCCACAAUUAGAACGAAAUUUAGAACAUAAUUCACCACUAGCCAACAACAUCAUCUAACGUACAUAGCGCUUGUCAACAUUCGACAAUACAAAGAUGAAAUCCUCUGAACAUUCAUAGAUCAAUUUGGAAAGAUAUCUUCACAAAUAAAGGACCUAAGUCAUAAAGUGCCUAUGCAUCAGAUAAUUCACCAAAAAAACUUGUGGGAUCGUUCCCCAAUAGCCUGUUAUGCAGUCUACCACAAAUUUAGACGAUUUGAUAUAGAGAGUAGCAAAGUACAUGCAGCGAAAGGGCUUGAAAGGCUUUCGAAAGCAAAUGCGACUAUAAAGAGCAAAUGUAAAUAAGGGUACAAAUAAAAAAUCAUUCACCAAGAAUCAAGACUCAAAGUUACGGAGUCAAUCAGAGGUCCCCACUUCCAUAACCACACACCAUCGAACAAUGGUUGUUCGAAAAUCCUUUGGGAAGCUCUAAACACAUACUUGUUACCAUCACCUAGAAGAAAGGCAACCCUGUUGAACCUUGAUAGUAAUAAACAUUGUUAAUAUCAUCAUCACUUAGGCCAAAACAACGAUGAGUGUCUACCGCUAAAAUAUAAAAUAGAAGAGUUCAUCCAACUUUGACAGUUAAAGAAGUUUGUCAAAAUUGAUUAAACCCCUACCAUAGAGAAGAACCCCUAAAUGAGCAGUAUCAAUGUACAAAUAGUAUAAGGAGCAGCCUAGGUGAAGAAGCCGAAGUAAGAACAAGAGUCGGGAUGGUCCAUCGAGGGAAACAAUCAACACAACCUAAGGAGGUUUCGCUUGAGGAGGGCACACAAUAUUUUCCUAAAAGAAUCACAUUUGAGCAAUUAAAAUGAUGAAUCUCGUAGAGAAGAGAGUUAGAAGCACGCCCUUCAUCACAUUUUCUAACGAUGAUUAUAAAGCGCCUGACCCUGACCAAGACGACUUGAUGGUCAUCUCAAUCCAGCUAGCCGACUAUGCUAUAAGCAAGAUUUUGGUCAACCAAGGCAGACAAGAAGAAGAAGGAGUUGUGCUUACAACCUUCACGGCUUCCCCCGACCGAUUAGCAGAUUCCUCUUGCUCAACAAGUUCAACAGCAGCUUUGAAGAAAUUCUUCUUUAGAUUGUGGGAUGCCAUAAUCUCUGAAAGACAACAAAAAAUUUAGCUAGGUUAAAAUCAAGUCAAAAACAAACGACAAAAGGAAUGCCAUAUCGAACACCUCAGUACUGAGGUCCUCCCCACCAAGGCAAUUGAUUAUCUUUGAGGAAGGGAGCUGGCGAGGCAAGUCAUCAAGAACAUUGAGUGCCUCCUGCUCGGCCGGAGUCAUAUCUGACUGUAACCAGGAAGUCACCCAAGUAGGGUCUUCGGUCUAGUACAAAGAAAAUUUUGGUCACUCGUCUUCCCCAAAGAAUAGUAGAUGGCCAAACUCGGUUAAUUCUACCUUAAAAAAUUUAUCAUUGAAGCCCUUGAAUGAAAGAGAAUAAAGCUCAAAUAAGGCUUUCCCUUGCUCGAAGAUCGGGGCGACCCAACCGCGUUUCGGAAUAUGUCAGGUCCAAAAGUAGUGAAGAAAAAGAGCGCGGGUGUAGGUGUGAGGUCCAACACUUAGCAAACGAUGGCGAAGGCCUGAAUAUACCCCUAGUUAUUUGGAUGCAGUUGGAAUGGGGCAAUAUUUAGAGUACGGAGGACGUCCAUUUGAAAAGAGCUAAACGACAGAUACACAAACAUCUCAUGGAACAUAUAAGCGUAAGCGAAGAAGAAGUCACUCUUACUCCCUCCUUUUCCAUGAAACACACGGUCAUUCUCCUCACGGGCCAUUAACCUAAAUAGAGGACCAAAAUCCAUUGACCGCAACACAUAGUUACAAUCAGUCCAGUCCGCCAACUGACUCAUGUCAUGAGACGCUUCAAAAGUAGGUGGAGAACUCACUCACAUCAUGAGACGCUCAGUCGUAGCCCGCGACAAUGGGCAAAGCUCCCACCUGCUUGUUCUCCUCCUUAGCACCCUCCAUAAUCACCCCUCCAUAGACAAAGGUCCACUGACCGUUGAACAUAACCUCUUUAUUUUCUUCUACAAUGGAUUCAUUACCAUCACAACCACCAUCCCGCUCGGUUGACUCCAUGAAGGAGGAAGAAGACUCCGAGCCCACCGAGAAUGAGACCCCAUCAUUGCCCCACCCGCCCCUUCCCGAAGACUCCUCAGACGAAGAGAGGUUCAUGGUAGCCAUUUAUUACAUGAAUUAAAAAAAAGACAAAUAACACUUUCAAACGUUGGAUGAAAAUACGUGAAAAUUAUACAAUGGGUCUUUCCUAUUUAUAGGCAGCAAAUGGAGGACCCAAAGAUCGUCCUAACUGUUGGAUGUAAAGAAAUCCAACGGUCUGAUUCAAAGACUCCAUAACUUCCAUCCAGCAUGAGAAACGAAAAAUCACAUCCAACGGUUAAGAACAGCUGACCUUGCACAUUCCUAUCAACGCAUGAAAUAGAACCAAACGCCAAUGGUAACAAUUUCAAAAUCAAGGCAACACCCCACCCAAACCAUGCACGCUCACCAAACAGUUAGUAAAGUCCCUUGCACAUUCCUAUCAACGCAUGAAAUAGAACCAAACGCCAAUGGUAACAAUUUCAAAAUCAAGGCAACACCCCACCCAAACCAUGCACGCUCACCAAACAGUUAGUAAAGUCCCUUGCCAAACAUGUUCGUCUCGAACUUGGGAGUCUGUGUACUGUAUGAACCGACCGAUAUACGUAUACCGGUAGACCACACGAUUAAUCACCUUUAGAAACGCAUUACAACCAAAUUAAACGAACGGUCACUUACAACACUCAUCGUCGUUAGGUAUAAAGACUUUAGAUUAACAAAGUAAAAACAUACUUAAACAAUGUUAGGCUUACACUUAUCCAAAGAUAAAGACAUAGGUGAUUACAUUUGGCAUUUGAGACUUAAUUAUAACCAUUCGAUAAGACUAACUUGAAUAUCAAGAGUACAUUUCUCCUCAGAAUUUUGAGGAGAAUAACAACAUAUUAUAAGAAAGUUAAAGAGUUAAUUGAAGGCAACAAACUAGAUUAGUAUAUAUGGAAACACAUUAUUUAAAUUGUCACUCAAAACAUAUCUUAAUUACGUUUCCUCACUUCCGCAUCAAUUUAGUUUUUUUAUCAAUUUUUGUUUAAAUAUUUAGUCGAAACAUAUUCAAAAGUUACACAUUCAAGAUGAAAAGGAAAUAAUUUAAAAAAUAACCAAGAUAGUAAAAUAAAAUUUAUUGUGGAUAUGGAAUUGCUUGAUUUGAUUUUAACCCACAAAUAACACCAAUUCAAUCAAAUCCAAGUUAGUGUAAUGAGUGGAUUUGAUGAAACCUCAAUCACAACAUUGUCCAUAAUAAGAACACGAGAAAGAAACUAAAAUUUAAAAAGCACAGCAAAACUUCUUGCCGGGGAGGAAGAAAUGACAAACUUUGGUAUUUUCUCAUUGAAAUGGUAGACAAUAAUACAACAACGGUGUAACAUUGGUACAAUAAAGAUAUGUCUGUCACUAUUUGCUGCACGAGGACCUUCAAACUACUUAAUUCAUACAGAAUAUCUUUCCAUUAUGCCCCAAGAGAAAAGAAGAAACAUAUGUACAAGGGUUGAGCUUUUAUGGAACCCCUCCAGAGGGUCUCACUGUUUUGUGAAAGGCCGUGUAUAACAUUUGUGAAGGGAUAAAUCCUGAACUAUUGAGCAUAUAUGUAAUAGGCCAAGUCAAAUAAAAGCCGCAUCUUUCUGUUGUUAGUUUUCAAAUUUGUAUCAAUUGUGGGAUAAGCUUCAAAAGGAAAGAUAAAUCCUGCUGUGAAAAUUGUGGAUUUGAGUUCCCCUGCACCGUCACACUCCCCUCCGUAAAACCCUCCCCAUCACCACCCUUUUUUGGCUUUAUCAUAUCUGCAACUGCUUCGGUUAUUUCUUUAACCAGAUCCACAAUUACUCCAUCAAUUCCCAUUAGAUGUUGCAUGUAAACUGCCUCAGGAACAUUGCUGCAAUGUCAAAUAUAAUCAUGAGCCAAAAUGUUACACCAAACACAUUCUUUUCUCAAGCAAUUAACAAAGGAAAGAGAGUACUAAAAACAAGCAUACUUUAAUUUGCCGUAAGAAAGGAGGCAGAGCUUGGACUCCUUUAUCUUGGUUACUGUAGAAGGAUCUCUAAAAAUCCCUUUAAUUUCUGAGACAAUUCCUUCCAAUCCAUUCUCAACAGAGAGCUUCAUGGCCUCCUCCAGUGAGUUUCUUCUCACAUCUUCAUAGAUUUCACAUCCUCCAUUUGUCAAGAAAAAGACCUGGUUGUUCCCAACAAAUUAACCACAACAUCAGAUCCAGUUAAAGAAAUAAAAUAAUUUCUCAGAACUAAAAAGGCUUAAAGAACUAACAGGGUAGUUGCUUUGCAAUUUCCGGAUGAGCAAGGCUGCAUCUGGCUGGAAUGUUGAGAAGAUAAUAGGUCUAUCCUUGGCGUAUUCAAACACAACCUGCACCCCACAAAUACCAAAGACAAUGAGAGAUCCAAGUCACCACUUUUGAAAUGUAAAACUAAAACAAAACACUCAGUGUCCCCCAUAAACACAUUUUAGGCUUAAAAUAGACUCUCUUAGCGUACCUUUAAGAUGGUUUGAAGGACAUGGACGAGAUAAUCUUGCUCAUAGACAAUGUGAUCAUCGAACUUCAACUCAAUAUUAAAACCAAUAGCGGGUUCCACCUUCACAAAAGCCUCUUGGAGAGUGCAAAGUGAGUCAUCUUGUUCAACAUCCCAUGGCAUUAUCUUCCCAUCUUUUUUCCUUAGCAAAACCUUUCCCUCAUUGCCAUGCUCUCUCUGAGGCCCAUAAGAAAGAAACUCUGAGAGACUCAGCUCUGUGAUCCUCCUUCCAGUUACAGCACCCUGCAAAACACAUUAAUUUCAACGUAACAAACCCAAAAAACUCGACCCAUUGAAAAGAAAAAGAAAGAAAUCAUCAAAGCUAAGCAAAAACAAAAAAACUCACAUUCUCCUCCGAGAAGAUGAAAUCGUCGUGGAAAAUGACGGGGCAAUCAUCUCUCGUCACCUACAAAAAACGUGCAUUUUUUAAUUCGUUUUCUUUUUUUUUUCUAUAAAAAAUGCAACGCGUCAAACAAAAACAAACAAGCAGCCAAUCAGUACCGAACAGACGGUCAAAAAAGGGCCGAGAAAGGCAAAUUAUUUACAGAAAAGCCAUCGGGGUAAAAUAGGAAAAGAAGAAAAGUAGUUGUUGCGAAACACAAGAAGCGAAAACGGUGCGCGCGGUGGAACAUUAAAUUAUUGCAUUGAGUGCAAAAGCAGAAAGAGGAAAAUAAAAGAAAAGGUCACCUGAACGUCAAAUUCUAUGAAAUCGAGAGGAAAAGUAGAGGCGGCGUUGAAGGACAUAAUGGUAUUUUCCUUUAUGGCUCUCAUUCUUCGAUCCGAAGAUUGCAGAACGUUCAUGCCGUUACCCCUGUGGCCGAUGACGACGAACUUGGGCAUCUUGAAGCCACUCCGAGCAAUCUCGACCCCUGCAUUAACGAUUAAAAGAAUGUUAGGAAGAAAAGAUGGGAAGAGGAAGAAGAGAAGGAAAGAGAUGGAAAGAACCGUUGGGGAAGCGGGAGGAGCAGAGGGCGAGAGAGGCAUUCUCGGGGACGUGGUCAAGGGAAGGGACGUCGGUGACAUGGACGGCCUUGAGAGCCAUUUGGGUGGAAGGAAAGAGAGAAAGGAGGAAGGGGAAAGGGAGGUGGUGAUGAGGAGGGCACCGGAUGGUUUGUGGGUGAUGGUGGUGGUGGUGAAGAACAAGGCAUGGUUUGGUCCGCUAUUUAUUGCUUCCACCUACGCCAAAUUCACCCUCCAACGGAUCUCCCCACGAAUAUUCCCCUCCCAUCUAUAUGCUUGGGAUAUUCCCUUGUCAUUUUCCACCCUUUCAAUUUCAACCUACACUUUUUCUUUUUCUAUAUCUAUAUCUUCAACAAAAUAUGUCAUUAUAGAUUUUUUACUAAUUUAUUGGACUAGAUUUUCGUCUAAUAUAUUAAUAAUAAUACCAUAUUUAAAUAAAAUAUUUAUAUAUAUCAUCCAAAUAAGUUCAAAAUAAUAACUGAAAAUUUUGAAACCGAACAAUUUUUUUUUAUACAAAAUUUAAAAACAAACACCUUUUCAACCAUUUAAACCACUAAAACAACCAACAAUUGUUUUAUCUCUUACUACAACUUCCAAAAAUAAAGCAAUUGACCAUGAAUACCUUUCAAUUCCAACAGACUUUGAAGCUAGCAUAAAAAAAUCUUGAAACAAUAUCGGAUAACUAGGAAUUGGUUCGAUCAAUUUCCAGCACAAACUGUUCUAGACACCAAAAAUGGAAGCCCUAUGACCAUUUUAAGAGGAAAAGCUAUACAUCUUUUAAUUGGAUGAUUUUAUUUAUUUUUUAAAUAAAAAAAGUAAUUCUUUAUUUAUGUAAUAAAAUAAAUUAUUAAAUAUUGUUUGUUUAAAAAAAAUAAAUUUCUAAAAUAACACUUGCGUAAAAUUAUAUAUAUUUUGUAGUGAUUGGAAACAAUGCUGUGGUGGUGGCGGGUGAGAAGUGGCUGGGUGACAGCUGGGGUAUUAUGUUAUAGUCGUUGACCUGUGACAAGGCAAACUACAAGGUUUUUGAAGAAAAUCUGUGGUGGGAUCGUCCGAACAUUGCGGACUACGGUAUUUUAUAAGAUAGAGGAUGAAUGAAGAAACAUAAUUGAUCGGGUAUGACGUGGUGACACAACAGCAUGUAGAUAGAUAGAGAAAGGUGGGUGGUUAUAAUUGGAUAAGACUACAAAAAGGAUUUAGGAAUGACUCAUGGCUGCCUUUGCCAAACUAUUAAUUUUAUUUAAUGAUAAAAAUUGAUGUUGUCUUUGUACUUUUAGGAAAACAAACAAAAAGUUAAAAUACGGUGGAAACAAUUUGAUAAAAAAAUUGGAAUUUUUUUUGAAAAUAAUGUAUUUUAAUUAGUUUGAUAUAAAAUAGAAACAUUAGGAAAUAUCACAUUCUAUGUUUUUAAUCUUUACGAAAAUAUUUAUUAGUAUAAUUACGUGGUACAAGUAAAAAUCUUCUAGAUAAACUAGAAUUCUCUAUAAGUUGAAUUGCUGUCUGAUUGAGGAGAAGCGGAUUGAGCUUCAAGAAAAAGGAAAAGUAGAGAAAGAUUCAUGUACAAAAUAAAGUUAAUAAAAAAGUAUAAAUAGUAUAAGUGUGAAUAGGAGAUAUACCUGGAUCAAUAGACACACAUUAAAUCGAUUAAUAUUUCAUAUAUGAUAAUAAGAUCAAGAGAUAAUAUGAAUAAAUUUGGAUUGGACUCAAAUAAACCUUUAUUAUAAAAGUUAUUGGGUUUGGACUUAUUUAGUUUUAAAUAUAUAAUUUUGGUUUAAUAAAUUUUAAAUGAUUUUUAUUUUUAUAAAAUUAAAGUAUACAUGAGAGAGUCCGUGUAUAUAUUAAUCUCACAUGACAUUAAAAUCGAGUUUUAUAUUAAAAGUUUUAAAUGUACAAAGGUGAACUUCAGGGAAGACAAAGUAAAAAAAAUUAAAAAUUUUAAGUGGAUCUCCCUUUAAUUUAAAAAUGCAAAUGAGAUUGGGAAAAAGAAUCGAAGAUCCGUAUUAUUAGAUUUGUGUGAGAAAAAAAAAAUCGCAUUCUUUCGUUCAAAAUUUUCUUAAAAAAACUGAAUUUAUAUGUGAUAGUAGCUCAUCCUCUGCAAUUAUAAAAAUAAAAUAGACUAAAUUCUUAUUACAAAGCAAGAGAGGAGGAAAAGAUCUAAGAGUUUUUAUAUCUUGGUAUGCAUUUAGCUACAGUAUGAGCUCCAGAUUUAACUGAUAACAUAGUCCAUGUAAUUUAAUUUGGACAAUGAAUGAAAAGUGACAAUGACUUCCAGAUAUCCAUGAUUUAAAUUACAAUGGAAAAAUAGAAGAAGAAAUGAGGAAGAAUGUGAGGGACUGGGACUAAUUAAUAUAUUAAAUAUUUUACAUCUAACUCUCUUAAUGUAUACACUUCUUCUGAACUUUAUCUGAGAUGAACAGUUAUAGAGAUGAACAGUCAGAGAGGGUGUUGAAAGAGAGAGCUCCCAAUGCAAUUCACAUCCUCCGCUUCAUGCUCUACCAUAUCACUCUCAAAUGGCUGCCAUGCAAUGUGCUCUAACUUCUCUUAUGGACUCUCAAAACAAACCAUAUGCCUUCAACAAAUCAACAUUAGAAUUACCUUUCCAGGACGCUUCUUCUUCUUCCAGCAACAAUGAGAAAUUCUCUUCAAAAUCCAAAAAGUACUCCUCUAAUUUACACCUCACCAUCUUUCAGCCAUGGGAAAUCAUACACCCCAAGUCCCAACUCGAAUUCCCAUGCAUCUCAACAACAAUCCUCUUUCUCUCUAAUAAAGAACGAAGAAAGAAAGAACGAGCGAUUUUUUUCCCUCACACAAACCUUAUAAUACGGAUUCUUAAUUUUUUAAUGCCAUGUAUGAUUAAUGUAUACAUUGAUCAUAUCACGUAAGCGAAACUUAAACGAUCUUUUGUUCAAUUUGACGGCAGGCUCUAAUUACUUCAAUUUUUAAAAAAUAAGGAUCUAAUUAAGAUGGCAUAAAAAAAAAGGGACUUAUUUGACAUUUUGGACCAAAAUAGGAACAAACCGAGACAUUAAACCUAUAGUCUUUCAUAAUUAUUCUUUUCCAUUUGUUAUUUAAAAAACGUUAAAAUUAGAAAAUGUUAAUUUAUAUAACAAAGAUAAUAAAGAAUUUUAAAUGGAAAUAAUUAUAAUUUUAAAGCAUAAAAUUUAAUAAAUCUAUACUUAUAUAUAUAUAUAUAUAUAUAUAUAUAUAUAUAUAUAUAUAUAUAUAUAUAUAUAUAUAUAUAUAUAUAUAUAUUAUGGGUUUGUUAACGUGCGUAUGCCUCUUUUCAGUUGGUACAUUUUAACAAUGUGUACCGGAUUAUAGUAGACAAAAAUAUCAUCAUAUAUUAUGGAUUCUAAGUUUUAAAGUCAAGGAUAUUUAAAUAAUUUUCAUUCUGAAAACUAAAAAAAAAAAAGAAAUCCCCAAACCCUUACUCACCUCUCCCAUUCCUAUCAAUUCUUUCUGUUUCAUUUCUCUCACUCCAACUUUUUCUCUGUCAUUUUUACUAUAGCCCCAAUUAAAAAAAAUUAGAAAAACUUGCUGUUAAGAAAUUUCUUACAAAAAAAUGAUUUUAUAAUGAGUUUUCAUUUUAUAACUUUUGUCUUAUCUAAUUUUCACAAGCAUAAUGACAUAUGAAGGAAUUGGUAAUUCGCCUGAAAAAAAAAAUAAAAAACACUCGCUAUUAAACAAUUUCUUACAAAAAAUGAUUUUAUAAUGAGUUUUCAUUUUAUAAUUUUUGUCUUAUCUAAUUUUAUUUAAUUUUCACAAGCAUAAUGACAUCAGAAGGAAUUAGUAAUUGGCCUGAAGAUUUUUUAAGAAAUGACGAUUCAACAUCUGCAGAUGAUGAAAUUAGAGAUGUUAGUGAAGAUGAUGAAAUUGAAGAGAUCUUGAAUGAACCUUUGCCUGAAAGCGAAUAUGCCAAUGACUCAACUCUUUACAAAGGUAAAUUGUUUAAGGAUGAGUAUUUCUAAUUUUUUUUUCAAUUGGAUCUACCAUAGGAUGAUAGAGAAACGGUUGGAGUGAGAGAGAUGAAAGAGAAAGGAUUGAGAGGAAUGAGAGAGGUGAGUAAGGGUUUGGGUUUUUUUUUUNUUUUGUUUUGAGAAUGAAAAUUAUUUAAAUAUCCUUGACUUUAAAACUUAGAAUCUUAAUAUAUGAGGGUAUUUUUGUCUACUAUAAUCCGGUACACAUUGUUAAAAUGUACCAACUGAAAAAUAGGCGUACAUAUAUAUAUAUAUAUAUAUAUAUAUAUAUAUAUAUAUAUAUAUAUAUAUAUAUAUAUAUAUAUAUAUAUAUAUACAAACACACACACACAUACGGGGUUUGUUAACAUACGUAAGCUAUAUUUUUACAGUUAAUACAUUUUAGCAAAGUAUACCGAGUUUUAGUAGACAAAAAUACCCUUAUACAUUAUGGAUUCUAAGUUUUAAGGUCAAAGAUAUUUGAAUAAUUUUCGUUCUUAAAACUAGAAAGAAAAACAAGAAACCUGCAAACCCUUAGUCACCCUUCUCUCAUCCCUCAUUCCUCUCAACCAUUUCUCUUUUAUCACUCUCUGUAACCUUUUCUCUGUCAUCCCUAUAAUAGCCCCAACUGAAAAAAAAAAAAUCAGAAACACUCGCAUAACCCUAAUCCACCUUCCUCAUUUAUCCAAUUUGUUUCUCUCUCAUCUUCACCUCUCUCGUCCACACACAGUAACUCGCGACAUUGCAAUUUGUAGUUCUUGCUCUGUUCGUUCAUUUGUUUCCACUUUAAUAACAAAAUAAUUGAUGAUGUUGAUGUUGAUUUUUGAUUGAAGGGUUGUUAUAUUUUUUUCCCUUAUGAUUAUUAUUAAAUUUUGUUUUUAAAUUUUAGAAUUAGUAGUUUAUCUAUAGGGAGAUUUGAUAUUUUGACUAUUAAGUUGUCCGAAAAUAUUUUUCAGAAGAGAAAAAUAGUUACGUGGAAAGGCGAUUCCCGAAAGGGUAAGUCAUUGUCCAAAAAAUGGAUUUCUGAAGUCAGUUCUUAAAAAUAAUUCUAAAAACAUAUUUUGCGCUGAAAGCAAUACUUUGGAAUAUACUUUUCACCUUCCUGCAUAUAACCAACGUCAAAACACAACAAAAAAUGAAGCUCAUGUACAUCGUACUAAAUGAUUUAACAGGAAAAAAUUAUUGAAGAGAGUUAUGAACAUAAAAGAAUUUUGUUGUUGUCCACUAGACUUUUCACUCAAUUCUGGUUGUGUAAUAUUGUUCAUCACUCCUGAUGUCCACUAGACAAACUCGUCUAGGUACCGCUUAAUCCAACCAAGUUAAGCCUUAAGUGUUUGAAUUAUCUUCAAAAUAUGCAAUCAAUCAAAUCACCUACAAGUCAUUAGAUGAUUACUCUCAUAGUGAGGAUUUGCUUACAAUAUAAUUCAAUCUAAUAGACUUUUGAAAUUUUCUUUUUUCUUACAAGUGUAACUUUCUAACUCUAAACAACUCUGAGAGUAUUCUUGAUCUUUCAAUGAGGAUGAUUUUUCUUUAUAUUCCUUAUGUGUCCAUCCUUUUUUCCUUCUUAACCAGAUAUCUUCUCUUUAUAAGCGUUUUUUGAGAAUUUAGUCGUUAGAUGAUGCUUGUCUUUGAAUUUUAGCUCUUUGUAGCCUGCCUUUAUCAUAGGUGGUUGUCAUAGGUUGAGGUCUACUUGUCAAAGUAGGCUUACUUUUUUAGUACUUUAUCAAAAGUAGGUUGUACGAAUUCUUUGGCUCGACUUUUGAUAAGAAGGUCAUUCCAUGAAUGUCUUCUUUGUCUCUAACUUGUAUUUGAUAGAGAAGGUGGAUGCUUGACUUAGGUAAUUUGCAUAAAGUAGAGUAGAUAUUCAUACAAGCAUAUAUGUCUGUUUUCCUUUCACUUUUGCUAUUUUGAGACAUUGUGUUUUUUAAUGCGCGUUUAGAACAACUAUAAGUAUUUUAAAAUUUCCUUGCUCAAGCAGCAUUUGGUUGUUUAAGCAUUCUAGUAGAGAUACCUAGUAGAUCAUGAGAGUUUCAUCAUUGGAUGAAAACUUCGUUUAGCACAUGAUAUCGUUUAGCCUAUGCAAGGCUUUUCAUAAUAGUGCCUUGUUUAAUAAAUACUCGUUUGAUUUAAGAGCGCAUUUAGUGAGAUAUCUUUCAACAUCAAUUUUUGGAACAAUGAUUGUAUCUUUUAGCACAUUUACCAAAAACAUCAUUUUAUAUAUAUCAUAGUGAGAUCUUGUUUAGCUUUGUUUAGCAAAGUAUAGCACAAAUGUGUUUAACAAGACUCUCAUAUAGCUCAAUGACGCAUUUAGUAGUGAAAUCGUUUAGUAGUGCAUCUACUUAUGUAUUAGUGCAUUUAUUAAAGUUUUUUCUUUCAUGGAAAGUCUUUUUAUGUAGCGAUAUGAGUUUUACAAAGGUAAUACUUUGUUAAUCAUCUAUUUCGGUCAUAUUCUUAUUUACUAAUUCUCAAGUCAUGUGAAGAUGCUAAACAAUCUUGAUCUUAUCUUAGCAAACUUCCUUUCUUCUUGUAGUACUGAUUUAUUGUGUAGCACUAUCGUUUUGUAUUAUGUCUCUUCUUAGGAAUGAAUUGUUUUCUUUUAGGAUGAAGAUAUAUUCUUUUAUUUUACGAAUAUUUUAUUUGCAAUGCGUGAUUACUUGAUAGAUUCUUGCACUCAAUGUUUUGUCAGUUUUACUUGGACACUUCUUAUGCUUAUUGCUUUGUAAUUGUAUAUUUGUAGGCAUACUGUAUGUAGGCUUCUUCUAUGUUUCUAUGUUAUUUCAGCUUAUCUCUUUUGUUGUUUAACAACUUAUGUAACUUUAGAUGUAACCUUGAUUUUUACUUUGAUUUGGCUUGACAAUAUAGAUGCUUCUAACCUUAGACGUUUUUCUUUUGGACAUCUUUUUUCCGCUAAAUGGAUAACUAGAUGGUUUGCAAAGUCCACUUUCUAGUGUUUAGAUGAUUUUUCUUUUACAAUUAUCAGAUAAUGUCAUCGAUAAAUAUAUCAUCCAUAAAUAUCAUCCAUAAAUAUAAUGAAUAAUUGUACUUAAUUUAUCUAUCAUUCUAAAAAUAACUUUUUUUUCUAAUCGACUUAAUGAGUCCACUACUAAAUUUAUUAUUAUAUAUUAUUUAAUAAUAUUAUCUUGAAAAUAUUUUAUCAAGAUAAUUUUAUGAAAUAUUAAUUAAAAAACAAUAAACAUUUAUAACAUUUAUAAGAAAGUGUGAUAUUUGAGAAAAACAUAAUAUAAUAUUUAAAAUAAAAGACAACUUAUUAGAAGAAAUGAGAAGAACAGGGAUGGAACUAAAGGUUAAUAAAUAAAAUUGAUGUUUUUCUAUUUUUACAAUUAAUUAUUUUUAGAAUAAAAGUUGUGUAUGGAAUUAAAAAUUCUAUACAAUAAUUUGUUAAGAGAUAAAAUAUGGUCGUAGAGGAUUAAUAAUUUAUUUAUUAAUUUUUCUAUUACUUUUGAUAGUUAACCAUGGAUGAUUGUUAUAGUUUUUUAGAACAUUAGUUACUUUCCUUAGUUAGUUUUAAUUUUUUUUUUCUACAAAUAGUUGAGUAAAUUAUUUUUCUAUACCAUAUGUUACGGAUGUUUCUUUAAUUAGUUUUAUACUUUCUAGCAAAUAAUUAAACACAAUUAUUAUCUUACGCAUGAAUGUGAAACAUGAUAUAAAUGUGUAAAAUUAACUUAUGAAAUCUUAUGAAAUAUAUGUUAAUGAAGUUGAAUCUCAUUUUCAAUUAAAAGGAAAACAAACUGAAAGAAAGACAACACCAAUUUCAUUCAUGUAUUUAUGAGGUGUCAAAGUUUCAUUUUAACAUUUUGUCUUUUCACAUAAUAUUAAUUGAAAAAAAAAAGUAAUGAAAAGGUGGAGAAAAAAAUGUAUGAUUUUAGUAUGUCUUCCGUUGUAGCCAAAAAACUGCUCACUGAAAGGAAUUAAAAAAUAGAUUUGAAUAGGAGUCUGUCAGACAACCCUGCAACCAUCCCCAGCUUGUAAAGUCAGGGAACGAUCCUCUACAGCUGGUGAUGGGUCUCGUCCAGAAACGAAGCCCACACUGCCGUUAAUCACGCUCUGAUCACAGGGUAAUAAUUCAUCCACCAGACUUCAGUUCCUGUCUCCUUAGAACUUAAGGAUACAGAGGUACGAACCUAUAGAACAGAUCCUGUUCAAGUAAGGUCGU